This 3535-nucleotide unclassified non-coding RNA is filed under the name Acanthaster planci (crown-of-thorns starfish). Its description in RNAcentral is "macrophage colony-stimulating factor 1 receptor-like, transcript variant X4". Lineage: Eukaryota; Metazoa; Echinodermata; Asteroidea; Valvatida; Acanthasteridae. The record is from RNAcentral.
UCGCGUGAAGGUGUUGCAAUGUGGAACUGAGUUCUUUAUUGGAAACUACAAAACUCAGCAGCACAUCAGCUUAGCACAUCAUUGGAGGCUUGGUAGGCAUUGUAACCAACAUGGGGACCCAUCUCUUUGCCAUCGUGGUGUCCCUAGCAGUUUCUGUCAGAGGAAUUCUUUCCAGCAAUGUCACCCUUGGCCCCUACGAGACAGCCCGAAUAACAUCUCCUUCCUACCCUAACAACUACGGCAAUAACUUGAACAUCAUCUGGGUCAUUCAGACUGUUGAACAUUGGCGGAUUCACGUUAUCGCUUCAAGUUUUAACACAGAAUCCUCUUACGACCCCCUGCGAGGCGGUGAUGGCACAGACAGCGCAAACUCGACAACUGCGAUUUUCGUUUCAAGUGGGUCCAGAGGUCCAGAUGCAGUUUCCAAUGGACCUGUGAUGUGGUUGAGGUUCACAAGUGACUACAUUAUCUCAUCCUCCGGUUUCAUCCUGUGGGCUGUCAGUGUACCAUCUCAAUCGAGUUUGGAUUUCAACUGCACCUUUGAAGAUGGAUUGUGUGGUUGGACGCAGUCAACCGAUGAUGAUUCAAACUGGACUCUGGAUAGUGGAGGAACUCCAUCUUCCGAUACUGGCCCGUCUAUCGACAAAACAAUAGGCAGCACAAUUGGAACCUAUUGCUACUACGAGGCCACAGGAAGGAGUGAAGGUGAUAGAGCUGUGCUAGUUAGCCCAGUGGUUGCACGUGACAUUGGGAGAUCUCCGAGUAACUUCUGCUUCAGCUUUUGGUACAGCAUGUACGGCCUAUCUAUGGGCACUCUCAAUGUGUACGGGGUCCCGAUUAACGGAAGCAUUGAUGACGGGGAGGUUGUCUUCACACGGAGUGGACAGCAAACCACAAGCUCAAGGACUUGGCUUUUUCAGUCGAUAUGUCUCUCAGGCCCUGCUCCCAGGUUCAAAGUAGCCUUUGAAGCGGUACGAGGCAGUGGCUACACGUCGGACAUUGCAAUCGAUGACUUGGUUGCGUCGGUUUUUUCCAGUGUCACGGUGUUGUUCUGGGAUUCCACCACAAUCUUCCCACCUGUCGGUGGAAUAUCUCACAUAGUAGAGGGCGAAGACCAAUCCUUUCUCUGUCAGGUUGUUGACCUGCAACAAGGGGCAUCUUUCAGGUGGACAGUGGACUACCAGGAAGUGACGCCGGACAGAAGCAGCAGCCUACGAGACAAUAGCGGACUUUACACGAGCACAAGCGUUCUCACACUACCGGUAAUUACGAGUGCACGGCACGGCAAGGUAGUACAAUGCCACGCCCAACCAACAAACCAAUAUCCCUUAAGUACUGUGGCAACGAUUUACGUCAAAGUUCCACCGAAGCAAAGCAAUCUGUCACUGUAUGACAGCGAUGGCAUCUUAGGUGUGAGUGUUAGCGUCGUGGAAGGUGCGCCAAAGGCAUUCUUUUGCACAGUUAAGCUAACAAGACCGGCUGCUACCAUCCAAUGGCUCCUGAAUGAAGCCAAUCAAAUGACCGACACCCCUCCCUCUGGAGGAAGUGACGGAUUGAUGGAUACCACCAGCAGCUGGACGCUGGUACCCAGCCGAGCCAACCACGGGCAGAGGGUCAAGUGUGUGGCGAGUACACCCGAGUCAGAGAGUCCGUUACCGUCAGUGACGGUUACGCUGGAUGUUGAAGGACCCCCUGACACUCCCUCUAUAACAGGCAGCCAGGAGAUGACUGAAAAUGAACUAGCUCAGCUGGUAUGCCAAGCCGACUUGGGCUAUCCUAACGACUGGGGCCUGGUGUGGUCUACAGGCGGUUUACCUGCCCAGGGCUCGCUGACCACCGCUGUGACAACAUCAGGAAACCGGUUCAAAUUCACCAGCACGUUGAACUUCCAGCCAGCGAGAACAAACAACGGGGACAUGAUCACUUGUUCUGUGGCAAGGGGCUCUUUAACCCAAGGCCUUACGGAGACUUUUGGUCCCAUCAAUGUCAAAUACCCCCCAUACUUUUCUGACCUGGAGACGCCAAGAACGGUCAGUGAGGGUGAUGACGUCAUGUUUACUUGCCGCGCAGAUGCAAACCCCAAGCCCGCCAGAUUCAUCACUUGGGAAAAGGUGGGAUCCCCAAACACCCUAUCCUCAGUCUACAGCAAUGGUUCAAGCAGCCUAGCACUGCUCAACAUCAGCAGGGAGCAGGCUGGCCGGUACAGGUGCCGUGGGGACAAUGGUGUCCCGCCCGUUGUGUAUUCCAGUCAGAUAAACGUCACCGUGCGAUUUAAGCCCCGUCCACCUAUGGACAUCUUGAUUCAACAAGGAGGUCUCACCUCGGACUCUCUGACGAUCGCGUGGACGCCAACCAACGACGGAGGCGAGGAGCAGUGGUUCUACGUCAAUCACCGUGAACUGGAGUCGACCGCCGACUUCGACCCCGCCACGAGAAGUAUCAGGCUGUACAAUGUGAGCAUGUUCACAGUGGUGGGUCUGCAUCCCGACACUGCGUACGAGGUUGAGGUGUACGCCGAGAACGCCAACGGAGUCAGUGGCGCAGUGAAAACAGUGGGGACCACUAAGCGGUCCUCUCUUGCACAUUUGGGGUAUAUUGCUGGUAUGUCUGUAGAAGCUUUGAUUCUGCUCCUCAGCAUCAUAACAAACCUUGUCCUUUGCUGGAAAUGGAGGAUCACUACUAAGCAAGAAAAACAACAACGUGCCUCUGAAAGCAGGAGAGCAAAGACGGGAGCGUCACCCCGGGUAGUGGAAGUAACCGAGGACUACGAAAUUAUGAGUAUACCUAUGCGGACUAUCCAAGCAAAAACUGCUGCAGUAGCCGAAUCCACAUACGACAACAUCGCUGAGUCCCAGGUAACGAUCUCCCGAGACCAGCUGACCUUCGUGCGAGAGCUCAGACAAGGCGCUUUCCGCAAGCUGCUGCUUGCUAAGGCCGAGGGCAUCGAACUGCCUGGCGUUGCUACGCCAGUGGUGGUUAAAACCACACAAGAUGAGAACGAUCCCAGUGAGAAAGAAAGCCUGAUGCAGGAGUUGAUGUCAAUGAAAGCGCUUACCAGCCACGCUAAUAUUGCAAGGCUUCUCGGGUACUGCGUCGACAAAGAUCCAGUAUACGUAAUCGUUGAAAAUGUGGCACAUGGGACGCUGAAGGAGCUCCUUACUGAGUACGCCGACCAGUCGGAGCAGGUGUAUGAUAACUUGGGGGGCGCUGCUAACAUACCCCUCACUCCCAGGACUCUCCUCAGCAUGGCCAAGGACGUGGCUGAAGGCAUGGCUUUCCUGGCCUCAAACACGGUGAGAUGCACCACACCACACCACACCGUCACCUCAUCGCACUGCACCACACCACAUUGAGCCAUAUUAAACCCGAAACAAACCACGAACUACAUACUCCAAUUCACAUGACACUGCACAACAGAAUGUGUACACAUAUGUGUACAAUUUUCAGUGUCUUCACAAAGAUCUUGAAUCUUGCAACGUUUUCGUUGGUGAAGAAAUGGUCUGCAAACUCCUUGAUUUCGGAUAUGCCAAGGAUG